This 27-nucleotide small RNA is filed under the name Bombyx mori (domestic silkworm). Its description in RNAcentral is "ovarian small RNA-33110". The record is from RNAcentral. Lineage: Eukaryota; Metazoa; Arthropoda; Insecta; Lepidoptera; Bombycidae.
UGAUUGAUUGACUAACCUUUGCAAUGG